UAACCCAAAAACUAAGGUCCAAACCAUGGCUCAGGUUAACGUUCAGGACAAAAAUAUAGAGACCUAGUCAAGCACUAAGCAGACAAAGGAAUAUCAUCGUGCACCCUGCUUUGGAGCUUCUUGUAUCUUUGCAUUAUAUUAUCAGAGAAGAGAAUUCAUUUUUAUGGUACAUGCUUAUCAGAGAACAGUAUUGAUUUGCUUAUCUAAGGGUGAUUUAUUUUUUAAAGUGAAAAUGGAAAAUGAAUACUGGCUUGCAAAAUGCGAUAAAGAUAUAAAAUUAUUCUUAAGAAACAGUUGGUUUCUUGACAAGAAUCAAAUACUCAUAGUCGAACAAACAAAAAAUCACUGUAAAAAAAAGUUUUUUAUUUUUUUAAUUUUUUGAUCUUUCAUUGCAAGUGAAUAAAGAAAAAAAGUGAAAGGAAGUAUAAGAAAAAUGCAGAGUGAAUGAUUCCAAGAUAUAACUCGCUCCUGCAGCACCCGGGCAAGAAGCGGUCAAAACCUAUUUUAAUCUUUUUGUGAAUCAUUUUAUUCUGAUUGUCAAGAUGAGAAAAAACAUUUGAUUUGCAAUUCUCAUUGAAUUUUUGCUGACAAUGGUUUCAAAAACAGUCGCUCAUCAUUUACUGUUAAUUAUUAUCAUCAUCAUCAUCAAGCAGCAUUAUUGAGUAAACAACUACUAAAACAAUAAUAAUAAUAAUA
Molecule: unclassified non-coding RNA, 696 nt
Filed under: Hevea brasiliensis (rubber tree)
Lineage: Eukaryota; Viridiplantae; Streptophyta; Magnoliopsida; Malpighiales; Euphorbiaceae
Source: RNAcentral